GUCUAAGUAUAAGCAAUUAUACCGCGAAACUGCGAAUGGCUCAUUAAAUCAGUUAUCGUCUAUUUGAUAGUACCUUACUACUUGGAUAACCGUGGUAAUUCUAGAGCUAAUACAUGCUGAAAACCCCGACUUCGGAAGGGAUGUAUUUAUUAGAUUAAAAGCCAAUGCCCUUCGGGGCUCCCUGGUGAUUCAUAAUAACUGCUCGAAUCGCACGGCCUUGCGCCGGCGAUGGUUCAUUCAAAUUUCUGCCCUAUCAACUUUCGACGGCUGGGUCUUGGCCAGCCGUGGUGACAACGGGUAACGGAGGGUUAGGGCUCGACCCCGGAGAAGGAGCCUGAGAAACGGCUACUACAUCCAAGGAAGGCAGCAGGCGCGCAAAUUACCCAAUCCCGACUCGGGGAGGUAGUGACAAUAAAUACUGAUACAGGGCUCUUUUGGGUCUUGUAAUUGGAAUGAGUACAAUUUAAUUCCCUUAACGAGGAACAAUUGGAGGGCAAGUCUGGUGCCAGCAGCCGCGGUAAUUCCAGCUCCAAUAGCGUAUAUUAAAGUUGUUGCAGUUAAAAAGCUCGUAGUUGAACCUUGCGGCCUGGCUGGCCGGUCCGCCUCACCGCGUGCACUGGUCCGGCCGGGCCUUUCCCUCUGGGGAGCCGCAUGCCCUUCACUGGGCGUGUCGGGGAACCAGGACUUUUACUUUGAAAAAAUUAGAGUGUUCAAAGCAGGCUUAUGCUCGAAUACAUUAGCAUGGAAUAAUAGAAUAGGACGCGUGGUUCUAUUUUGUUGGUUUCUAGGACCGCCGUAAUGAUUAAUAGGGACAGUCGGGGGCAUCAGUAUUCAGUUGCGAGAGGUGAAAUUCUUGGACCAACUGAAGACUAACUACUGCGAAAGCAUUUGCCAAGGAUGUUUUCAUUAAUCAGGAACGAAAGUUAGGGGAUCGAAGACGAUCAGAUACCGUCGUAGUCUUAACCAUAAACUAUGCCGACUAGGGAUCGGGCGGUGUUAUCUUUUGACCCGCUCGGCACCUUGCACGAAAGUACAAGUUUCUGGGUUCUGGGGGGAGUAUGGUCGCAAGGCUGAAACUUAAAGAAAUUGACGGAAGGGCACCACCAGGGGUGGAGCCUGCGGCUUAAUUUGACUCAACACGGGGAAACUCACCAGGUCCAGACACGAUGAGGAUUGACAGAUUGAGAGCUCUUUCUUGAUUUUGUGGGUGGUGGUGCAUGGCCGUUCUUAGUUGGUGGAGUGAUUUGUCUGCCUAAUCGCGAUAACGAACGAGACCUUAACCUGCUAAAUAGCCCGCGCUGCCCCGGCAGCGCGCCGGCUUCUUAGAGGGACUAUCGGCU
RNAcentral lists this ribosomal RNA (1340 nucleotides) under Dryadomyces quercivorus. Its description in RNAcentral is "SSU rRNA". It matches the Rfam family "Eukaryotic small subunit ribosomal RNA", at positions 57 to 1428 of the family's 1831-position model. The record is from RNAcentral. Lineage: Eukaryota; Fungi; Ascomycota; Sordariomycetes; Ophiostomatales; Ophiostomataceae.